Molecule: ribosomal RNA, 332 nt
Filed under: uncultured bacterium
Lineage: Bacteria
Description: bacterial SSU rRNA
Rfam family: Bacterial small subunit ribosomal RNA
Source: RNAcentral
UGCGUAGGCGGCUUGGUAAGUCACGUGUGAAAGGCCGGGGCUCAACCCCGGAUCUGCAUGUGAGACUGCCUGGUUCGAGCACGGUAGAGGCGGGCGGAAUUCCUGGUGUAGCGGUGGAAUGCGUAGAUAUCAGGAAGAACACUGGUGGCGAAGGCGGCUCGCUGGGCCGUUGCUGACGCUGAGGCACGAAAGCGUGGGGAGCAAACAGGAUUAGAUACCCUGGUAGUCCACGCCCUAAACGAUGGACACUAGGCGUCGGGGGGAGCGACCCUCCCGGUGCCGUCGCUAACGCAAUAAGUGUCCCGCCUGGGGAGUACGGCCGCAAGGCUGAA